This 500-nucleotide ribosomal RNA is filed under the name uncultured bacterium. Its description in RNAcentral is "bacterial SSU rRNA". It matches the Rfam family "Bacterial small subunit ribosomal RNA", at positions 18 to 507 of the family's 1533-position model. The record is from RNAcentral.
CCUGGCUCAGAGUGAACGCUGGCGGCAGGCCUAAUACAUGCAAGUCGAACGGCAGCACGGCAGAGCUUGCUCUGUGGGUGGCGAGUGGCGGACGGGUGAGGAAUACAUGGGAAUCUGCCCAGUCGUGGGGGAUAACGUAGGGAAACUUACGCUAAUACCGCAUGCGCCCUUCGGGGGAAAGCCGGGGACCUUCGGGCCUGGCGCGAUUGGAUGAGCCCAUGUCGGAUUAGCUAGUUGGCGGGGUAAUGGCUCACCAAGGCGACGAUCUGUAGCGGGUCUGAGAGGAUGAUCCGCCACACUGGGACUGAGACACGGCCCAGACUCCUACGGGAGGCAGCAGUGGGGAAUUUUGGACAAUGGACGCAAGUCUGAUCCAGCAAUGCCGCGUGCAGGACGAAGGCCUUCGGGUUGUAAAGCUCUUUCGGCCGGGAAGAAAUCGCACAGGUUAAUACCCUGUGUGGAUGACGGUACCGGAAUAAGAAGCACCGGCUAACUACGUG